RNAcentral lists this unclassified non-coding RNA (407 nucleotides) under uncultured Boletus. RNAcentral's name for it is "sequence contains ITS2". The stretch from base 1 to 155 matches the Rfam family "5.8S ribosomal RNA". The record is from RNAcentral. Lineage: Eukaryota; Fungi; Basidiomycota; Agaricomycetes; Boletales; Boletaceae.
AACUUUUAACAAUGGAUCACUUGGAUCUCGCAUCGAUGAAGAACGCAGCGAAUUGCGAUAAGUAAUGUGAAUUGCAGAUUUCCAGUGAAUCAUCGAAUCUUUGAACGCACCUUGCGCCCCUUGGUAUUCCGAGGAGCAUGCCUGUUUGAGUGUCAUCGAAUUCUCAACCAUGUCUUGAUUGAUUUCAAGUGCAUGGCUUGGACCUUGGGGGUUGCUGGCGGCCAAUCAUGGCCAUCAGCUCUCCUGAAAUGCAUUAGCAAUGGGUUGUCUGGUCUAUUGAUGUGCACGGCCUUCGACGUGAUAAUGAUCGUCGUGGCUGGAGCGUCUUUAAGACCAUGCAUGAAUAGCCUAAGCUUCUAAUAAUAAUAAAGAUAAGAUUUGGAUCCGUUCGUCUUGGAGAAACUGAG